This 417-nucleotide ribosomal RNA is filed under the name uncultured bacterium. RNAcentral's name for it is "bacterial SSU rRNA". It matches the Rfam family "Bacterial small subunit ribosomal RNA", at positions 355 to 769 of the family's 1533-position model. The record is from RNAcentral.
UGAGGAAUAUUGCGCAAUGGACGAAAGUCUGACGCAGCCAUGCCGCGUGCAGGAUGACGGCCCUAUGGGUUGUAAACUGCUUUUGUAUAGGAAGAAACUCGAAUACGUGUAUUUGAUUGACGGUACUAUAUGAAUAAGCAUCGGCUAACUCCGUGCCAGCAGCCGCGGUAAUACGGAGGAUGCAAGCGUUAUCCGGAUUUAUUGGGUUUAAAGGGUGCGUAGGCGGAAUAUUAAGUCAGUGGUGAAAUCCUGCAGCUUAACUGUAGCACUGCCAUUGAUACUGAGAUUAUUGAGUACGGUUGAGGUAGGCAGAAUGUGUAAUGUAGCGGUGAAAUGCAUAGAUGUUACACAGAACACCGAUUGCGACAGCGGCUUACUAAGCCGCAACUGCCGCUAAGACACGAAAGCGUGGGGAUC